This 1029-nucleotide long non-coding RNA is filed under the name Chloebia gouldiae (Gouldian finch). Its description in RNAcentral is "Erythrura gouldiae (Gouldian finch) lncRNA (ENSEGOG00005016977.1)". Lineage: Eukaryota; Metazoa; Chordata; Aves; Passeriformes; Passeridae. The record is from RNAcentral.
CUCUGAGGGGAAGGGCCCCACCCCCAACUCCCAGCGGCGAUUCCCUCCCCACCGCAGACACAACACCGGGGAAUUGUCCGGGAUGCUUUAUUGGAGGGAGGGGACAGCCCGCGGUCACUUCUUGGCCUCCUCCUCCUUGGAGAGGGUUUUGAUGAUCUCCUCCUUCUUGGCCUGCAGCCGCUCCUCCCGGCGCUUCCGCGCCUCCUUGGUCUUGGAGCGCCGCGCCUCCGCCUGGUCCCUGCGGGGCCGGGGCCGUGAGGAGGGCCCGGGGCAGCCGCGGCCCGCCCCGAGCUCUGCCCCGAGCUCUGCCCCGGCCCGCCCCGAGCUCUGCCCCGGCCCGCCCCGAGCUCUGCCCCGACCGGCCCCGAGCUCUGCCCCGGCCCGCCCCGAGCUCUGCCCCGAGCUCUGCCCCGGGCCGCCCCGAGCUCUGCCCCGGGCCCGGGGCACGGCUGAGCCACCCCAGCCCUGGGAUUUCCCAGUCCCCACCUCACUCAGGGAUUUCCGGGAUUUCCCAGUUCCCACCUCACUCAGGGAUUUCCCAUUUCCCACCUCACUCAGGGAUUUCCCAGCCCCACCUCAGUCGGGGAUUUCUGGGAUUUCCCAUCUCACUCAGGGAUUUCCCAGCCCCACCUCACUCAGGGAUUUCCGGGAUUUCCCAUUUCCCAGUUCCCACCUCAGUCAGGGAUUUCCCAGCCCCACCUCAGUGGGGAUUUCUGGGAUUUGGGAUCUCCCACCUCACUCAGGGAUUUCCCAUUUCCCAUUUCCCACCUCACUCAGGGAUUUCCCAUUUCCAAUUUCCCACCUCACUCAGGGAUUUCCCAGUCCCCACCUCACUCAGGGAUUUCCCAUCUCCCACCUUACUCAGGGAUUUCCCAUUUCCCAUCUCCCACCUCACUCAGGGAUUUCCCAUUUCCCACCUCACUCAGGGAUUUCCCGGCCCCACCUCAGUGGGGAUUUCUGGGAUUUGGGAUCUCCCAGCUCCCAGCAGGUUUCCCUGGUGCCGAGCCCCCCUGCAGCAGCACUUACGCC